GCGAGUCUUAACUGGGCGCUCAGUCUCUGGAUAUAGACCCGAAACCGGGUGAUCUAGCCAUGGGCAGGUUGAAGGUUGAGUAACAUCAACUGGAGGACCGAACCGACUAAUGUUGAAAAAUUAGCGGAUGACUUGUGGCUAGGGGUGAAAGGCCAAUCAAACUCGGAGAUAGCUGGUUCUCCCCGAAAGCUAUUUAGGUAGCGCCUCGGACGAAUACUACUGGGGGUAGAGCACUGUUAAGGCUAGGGGGUCAUCCCGACUUACCAACCCUUUGCAAACUCCGAAUACCAGUAAGUACUAUCCGGGAGACACACGGCGGGUGCUAACGUCCGUCGUGGAGAGGGAAACAACCCAGACCGCCAGCUAAGGUCCCAAAGUAUUGCUAAGUGGGAAACGAUGUGGGAAGGCUCAGACAGCUAGGAUGUUGGCUUAGAAGCAGCCAUCAUUUAAAGAAAGCGUAAUAGCUCACUAGUCGAGUCGGCCUGCGCGGAAGAUGUAACGGGGCUAAGCA
RNAcentral lists this ribosomal RNA (511 nucleotides) under Vibrio cholerae. RNAcentral's name for it is "partial 23S ribosomal RNA". It matches the Rfam family "Bacterial large subunit ribosomal RNA", at positions 677 to 1188 of the family's 2925-position model. The record is from RNAcentral. Lineage: Bacteria; Pseudomonadati; Pseudomonadota; Gammaproteobacteria; Vibrionales; Vibrionaceae.